Non-coding RNA from Notechis scutatus (mainland tiger snake), 752 nucleotides. NCBI's taxonomy places the organism in Eukaryota, Metazoa, Chordata, Lepidosauria, Squamata, Elapidae. The record is from RefSeq and is a predicted model, not a curated record.
UCAAAAUAUCAUUGAAAGUAGAGAUGAAGAUCUGAAUGUGCUUAUGGCAGAAUUACUUGUGCCAGCUUUAUAAAGGGAGACCCGAGAGAUCCUGCUAGAAAUUGAUGAGGCCUAUAGAGUUCAAACGAGUUAUGCUCGACGUAACAGGUUACCCAGGGAAGUCCACAUGCGAUUUGCCAGGAAACAAGUACGUGACAUAAUAUACAAGAUAACGCGAGACAAACCUUUGGUUUAUAAAGAUAAAGAAGUGCAAACCCUGAAGCAGGUUCCCAAGAAGGUGCGUGAACAGAGAAAAGAGUAUAAGUUUUUGGCAACACAAUUUAUCCAGAAGAACAUAAUGUUUCGGUGGUUAAUUCCAGAAGGCUUGUUGGUGACAUGGCAGGAAAAGAGGAUCAGGAUAGAUAACUUAGACAAGGCGCAAGAUUUCUAUGAGCAGAUUGGAGGAACAGAAGAAGAAAGCGGUAGAGAGGAGCUAGAGACAGAAAGCCAAGAAGAACAAUAACAGCAAGAUAUAGGAGACCUAGAACAAGAAGGAGAGAACAAGGAGGAGACGGAAGGAAGAAGAUUAAGAACACACCCGCAAAGAGAGACUAGAAUUAAAAGAAGACAGAUAAUAUCCCACAAGUAGAAAGACGGAAAUGGAAAUGAAGCUAUUAUCAUUAAACAUAAAUGGUCUAAACUCACCCAUUAAAAGGAAACAGAUACUAUCUAGAUUAGCAGUCAUGACCUCCAAGUUGGGUGGCAUGCCUUUC